AUUGAACGCUGGCGGCAUGCCUUACACAUGCAAGUCGAACGACGCUAGGGGCAACUCUAGCGAGUGGCGAACGGGUGAGUAAUACAUCGGAACGUGUCCUGUCGUGGGGGAUAACCAGUCGAAAGAUUGGCUAAUACCGCAUGACCUCGUAAGAGAAAAGCGGGGGACCGCAAGGCCUCGCGCGAUUGGAGCGGCCGAUGUCGGAUUAGCUAGUUGGCGGGGUAAAAGCCCACCAAGGCGACGAUCCGUAGCUGGUUUGAGAGAACGACCAGCCACACUGGGACUGAGACACGGCCCAGACUCCUACGGGAGGCAGCAGUGGGGAAUUUUGGACAAUGGGCGCAAGCCUGAUCCAGCCAUGCCGCGUGUGUGAAGAAGGCCUUCGGGUUGUAAAGCACUUUCGGGCGGAACGAAAUCGCGCGGGUUAACAGCCUGCGUGGAUGACGGUACCGCAAGAAGAAGCACCGGCUAACUACGUGCCAGCCGCCGCAGUAA
RNAcentral lists this ribosomal RNA (495 nucleotides) under uncultured bacterium. RNAcentral describes it as "partial 16S ribosomal RNA". It matches the Rfam family "Bacterial small subunit ribosomal RNA", at positions 29 to 523 of the family's 1533-position model. The record is from RNAcentral.